This 74-nucleotide small RNA is filed under the name Hoeflea phototrophica DFL-43. Its description in RNAcentral is "suhB". The record is from RNAcentral. Lineage: Bacteria; Pseudomonadati; Pseudomonadota; Alphaproteobacteria; Hyphomicrobiales; Rhizobiaceae.
GUCAGAAGCCAGGCGUUUUCUUCCUUGCGUACUUUCGACAGGAUCUUCGAGAUCUUGUCGUUGUUGUCGGUGGC